AAAAAAGAAUAAAAUCUCUGGAUUCUAUCUUUGUAUAGAAGACGUGUCUGUCAGUUAAGCAGAAUUCCAUUAAGAUUUAACACAGCUUUUGACGUAUAGAAGAAUAGAAACUAACCUAAGAUUAACUUAAAUGUUGAUGAUACUAUAAAGAAAAGGAUUGCUACACAUGUCUAGCUUUAGCAACUCUUGUUGCAGGCUAGACAAAUAGUGAAUUGUCAAACAGGAUAAAUAUUUAGAAUGUCAGGUUUUUUUUUGUGAAAUGAUUUUUUAUCAUCUUUUUAAAUUUUCAAAACUCAUGGCAGAUUUUAGACAUCAAUUUCAGAUUACGCAAUUGGUGUAGAACAUUGCAUUCAAUAUCUUUACAGUUUCAUUCCAAUUUGCACAAAAAAAAUAUUUUUAAAAUAAGGAGAUGUGGUAUGAUUGCCAAUGACACAGAAAUGCACAACUAUAGGUCUUCAACAAUGAACAAGGCCCGUAAAGUAUAGUCAGCUAUAAAAGGCCCCGAAAUGACAAUGUAAAAAAAUCAAUCGAAAACUAAUGGCCUUAUUUAUUUUUUUAAAAAGAGGAACAAAACACAAAUAUGUAACAUAUAAACAAACGACAACCACUUAAUUACUGGCUUCUGGCUUGCUUAGGACAGGCACAUACACUGUAUUUAAUUCUUUUUAAAAACAUCUGUAAUGUCUUAUUCAUAUUCAUUUUACUUAUCUUUAUAUAUGCUUUCAAGUGAAAAUAAAACACUAAUCACAAAUACUCAACUAAUGCCUUGUUUAUAAAUUUUAGAACAAAAAGGGGG
RNAcentral lists this long non-coding RNA (796 nucleotides) under Mytilus galloprovincialis (Mediterranean mussel). Lineage: Eukaryota; Metazoa; Mollusca; Bivalvia; Mytilida; Mytilidae. The record is from RNAcentral.